UUACCGAGUUUACAACUCCCAAACCCAAUGUGAACCAUACCAAACUGUUGCCUCGGCGGGGUCACGCCCCGGGUGCGUCGCAGCCCCGGAACCAGGCGCCCGCCGGAGGGACCAACCAAACUCUUUUCUGUAGUCCCCUCGCGGACGUUAUUUCUUACAGCUCUGAGCAAAAAUUCAAAAUGAAUCAAAACUUUCAACAACGGAUCUCUUGGUUCUGGCAUCGAUGAAGAACGCAGCGAAAUGCGAUAAGUAAUGUGAAUUGCAGAAUUCAGUGAAUCAUCGAAUCUUUGAACGCACAUUGCGCCCGCCAGUAUUCUGGCGGGCAUGCCUGUCCGAGCGUCAUUUCAACCCUCGAACCCCUCCGGGGGGUCGGCGUUGGGGACCUCGGGAGCCCCUAAGACGGGAUCCCGGCCCCGAAAUACAGUGGCGGUCUCGCCGCAGCCUCUCCUGCGCAGUAGUUUGCACAACUCGCACCGGGAGCGCGGCGCGUCCACGUCCGUAAAACACCCAACUUUCUGAAAUGUUGACCUCGGAUCAGGUAGGAAUACCCGCUGAACUUAAGCAUAUCAAUAA
Molecule: ribosomal RNA, 573 nt
Filed under: Trichoderma atroviride
Lineage: Eukaryota; Fungi; Ascomycota; Sordariomycetes; Hypocreales; Hypocreaceae
Description: eukaryotic LSU rRNA
Rfam family: 5.8S ribosomal RNA (bases 189-342)
Source: RNAcentral